UAGGGAAUCUUCGGCAAUGGACGAAAGUCUGACCGAGCAACGCCGCGUGAGUGAAGAAGGUUUUCGGAUCGUAAAACUCUGUUGUUAGAGAAGAACAAGGACGUUAGUAACUGAACGUCCCCUGACGGUAUCUAACCAGAAAGCCACGGCUAACUACGUGCCAGCAGCCGCGGUAAUACGUAGGUGGCAAGCGUUGUCCGGAUUUAUUGGGCGUAAAGCGAGCGCAGGCGGUCUGUCAAGUCGGAUGUGAAAUCCCCGGGCUUAACCUGGGAACUGCAUUCGAAACUGGCAGGCUAGAGUCUUGUAGAGGGGGGUAGAAUUCCAGGUGUAGCGAUGAAAUGCGUAGAGAUCUGGAGGAAUACCGGUGGCGAAGGCGGCCCCCUGGACAAAGACUGACGCUCAGGUGCGAAAGCGUGGGGAGCAAACAGG
RNAcentral lists this ribosomal RNA (429 nucleotides) under Chloroflexota bacterium. RNAcentral describes it as "Chloroflexi bacterium partial 16S ribosomal RNA". It matches the Rfam family "Bacterial small subunit ribosomal RNA", at positions 355 to 776 of the family's 1533-position model. Lineage: Bacteria; Bacillati; Chloroflexota. The record is from RNAcentral.